Corapipo altera (White-ruffed manakin) is the source of this 180-nucleotide long non-coding RNA. RefSeq lists it as uncharacterized. The transcript is spliced from 3 exons. Lineage: Eukaryota; Metazoa; Chordata; Aves; Passeriformes; Pipridae. The record is from RefSeq and is a predicted model, not a curated record.
UUGCAUGAUGUGGAAACUUAGGGGAUAUGUGGGAGGCGUGUCUGAAGGCACGAGGGAUGUGCCAGGGCAGUAGACCCGAGAGAACAUGCGUGGUCACAUAUAACUCUAUUGGCUGAAGAAGUCACAUGGUAUACAGGGAUAUAAGGAGUGGGAAUUUUGAAAUAAAGUCUCUUUGUCCAC